This 128-nucleotide small RNA is filed under the name Arabidopsis thaliana (thale cress). RNAcentral's name for it is "ATSL274410". Lineage: Eukaryota; Viridiplantae; Streptophyta; Magnoliopsida; Brassicales; Brassicaceae. The record is from RNAcentral.
UAUCGGUCGACACCAUCUCUGCAACUGCGAGCUCGAGCUCUUCUUCAGUAUCGACUUCUUCCCACACAUCAUCUCCUUCUCUGAUCAAGAUGGCAUUACAGCUCUUCCUUGGGUUAGCAUCAGGAUUU